RNAcentral lists this ribosomal RNA (291 nucleotides) under uncultured bacterium. Its description in RNAcentral is "partial 16S ribosomal RNA". The record is from RNAcentral.
GGACUACACGGGUAUCUAAUCCGGUUUGCUCCCCACGCUUUCAUGCCUCAACGUCAGAAAUGGAAUAGUUAAUUGCCUUCGCCUUUUGGUGGUACUCUACAGAUCAACGGAUUUCACCCCUCCACAUAGAUUUCCAUCAACUUCUCCCAAUCUCUAGCAAAAUAGUAUUACUAAUUUCAGUCAAGUUGAGCUCGACUUUAACUAGCAACUUGUUUUACCGUCUACGCAUCCUUUACGCCCAAUAAAUCCGGAUAACGUUCGCCACCUACGUCUUACCGCGGCGGCUGGCAC